CCUACGGGAGGCAGCAGUGGGGAAUUUUGGACAAUGGGCGCAAGCCUGAUCCAGCCAUUCCGCGUGAGUGAAGAAGGCCUUCGGGUUGUAAAGCUCUUUCGCAAGGGAAGAAAACUUACACAAUAACACUGUGUGAGGCUGACGGUACCUUGAUAAGAAGCACCGGCUAACUACGUGCCAGCAGCCGCGGUAAUACGUAGGGUGCGAGCGUUAAUCGGAAUUACUGGGCGUAAAGCGUGCGCAGGCGGUUUUGUAAGUCAGAUGUGAAAUCCCCGAGCUCAACUUGGGAACUGCGUUUGAAACUACAAGACUAGAAUAUGUCAGAGGGGGGUAGAAUUCCACGUGUAGCAGUGAAAUGCGUAGAGAUGUGGAGGAAUACCAAUGGCGAAGGCAGCCCCCUGGGAUAAUAUUGACGCUCAUGCACGAAAGCGUGGGGAGCAAACAGGAUUAGAUACCCUGGUAGUCCACGCCCUAAACGAUGUCUACUAGUUGUUGGUGGAGUAAAAUCCAUGAGUAACGCAGCUAACGCGUGAAGUAGACCGCCUGGGGAGUACGGUCGCAAGAUUAAAACGUCAAAGGAAUUGACGG
RNAcentral lists this ribosomal RNA (588 nucleotides) under uncultured bacterium. Its description in RNAcentral is "bacterial SSU rRNA". It matches the Rfam family "Bacterial small subunit ribosomal RNA", at positions 338 to 916 of the family's 1533-position model. The record is from RNAcentral.